GAGUGCCUUCAUCGCUGCUGGUUUACUGCUGCCACACCGCCCGCUGAGCCUCUGCUCUGCCCUCGCCUGGUAGGUGGGGCUCCGAGCGAGGUUCCCAGGGAGGCCCCGGAGUUGGCUGUUUCUGGCCUCGUGGUUUGGCAGCGGCUCUGCUCCUCGCCUGCCGUGGCUCUAUUCCGGAUUUUUUAGGGUGCUGUAGUCCCUCAUCUGGAAUCCUUGGCUUCUUGAAGGUAUUCUCAUAUGUGGAUAAUUGUUCACGUUGCUGUUUCUGGAGAGACAAGUGCUAGAAAUUUCAUUGCUGCCAUUUUGCUGACGUCACUCUCCUUUACCCCCACUGUGUUGGCUCUGACCCAGGAGCUCAAGGUCUGAAUGUCCUUAGAGGCGAUGGACAGAAAUAUGUUAAGAAAUGAACGAAACCUUGCUCAAUGGUAAGAGUCUCCAUGAUGUCUUCUAUUCUUUUCUCAAGCCCAAGUGGCUGCACCAGCUUGCAUUCCUGCCAACAAUGCAGAAGAGAUCUUCUUUCUCCGCAU
Felis catus (domestic cat) is the source of this 527-nucleotide long non-coding RNA. RefSeq lists it as uncharacterized. The transcript has 5 exons. The record is from RefSeq and is a predicted model, not a curated record. NCBI's taxonomy places the organism in Eukaryota, Metazoa, Chordata, Mammalia, Carnivora, Felidae.